RNAcentral lists this ribosomal RNA (351 nucleotides) under uncultured soil bacterium. RNAcentral describes it as "bacterial SSU rRNA". It matches the Rfam family "Bacterial small subunit ribosomal RNA", at positions 26 to 381 of the family's 1533-position model. The record is from RNAcentral.
AGAUUGAACGCUGGCGGCAUGCCUUACACAUGCAAGUCGAACGGCAGCACGGGAGCAAUCCUGGUGGCGAGUGGCGAACGGGUGAGUAAUACAUCGGAACGUGCCCAAUCGUGGGGGAUAACGCAGCGAAAGCUGUGCUAAUACCGCAUAAGAUCUACGGAUGAAAGCAGGGGAUCGCGAGACCUUGCGCGAAUGGAGCGGCCGAUGGCAGAUUAGGUAGUUGGUGAGGUAAAGGCUCACCAAGCCUUCGAUCUGUGGCUGGUCUGAGAGGACGACCAGCCACACUGGGACUGAGACACGGUCCAGACUCCUACGGGAGCAGUAGUGGGGAAUUUGGACAAUGGGCGCAAG